Non-coding RNA from Myotis brandtii (Brandt's bat), 35 nucleotides. NCBI's taxonomy places the organism in Eukaryota, Metazoa, Chordata, Mammalia, Chiroptera, Vespertilionidae. The record is from Rfam.
CUGGCUCUUACUUCAACAGUGUUUGGACGGAACAC